RNAcentral lists this ribosomal RNA (397 nucleotides) under uncultured bacterium. RNAcentral describes it as "partial 16S ribosomal RNA". It matches the Rfam family "Bacterial small subunit ribosomal RNA", at positions 338 to 732 of the family's 1533-position model. The record is from RNAcentral.
CCUACGGGAGGCAGCAGUGAGGAAUAUUGGUCAAUGGGCGCUAGCCUGAACCAGCCAAGUCGCGUGAAGGAAGACUGCCCUAUGGAUUGUAAACUUCUUUUAUCGGGGAACAAAAUACGCCACGCGUAGCGUUCCGAAUGUACCCUAUGAAUAAGCAUCGGCUAACUCCGUGCCAGCAGCCGCGGUAAUACGGAGGAUUCGAGCGUUAUCCGGAUUUAUUGGGUGUAAAGGGUGCGCAGGCGGGUUGUUAAGUCAGUUGGGAAAGGUCGGGGCUCAACCCGAAGAUUGCAGUUGAUACUGGCAGCCUCGAGUUGGAGAGAGGUAUGCGGAAUGCGUGGUGUAGCGGUGAAAUGCACAGAUAUCGCGAAGAACUCCGAUUGCGAAGGCAGCAUGCGGG